GCAGGCUGCAACUCGCCUGCAUGAAGUCGGAAUUGCUAGUAAUCGCGGAUCAGCAUGCCGCGGUGAAUACGUUCUCGGGCCUUGUACACACCGCCCGUCACACCAUGGGAGUCGGUAACACCCGAAGUCUGUAGCCUGACGCAAGAGGGUGCAGCCGAAGGUGGGAUUGAUGACUGGGGUGAAGUCGUAACAAGGUAUC
Molecule: ribosomal RNA, 199 nt
Filed under: uncultured bacterium
Lineage: Bacteria
Description: partial 16S ribosomal RNA
Rfam family: Bacterial small subunit ribosomal RNA
Source: RNAcentral